GACAGAGGUGGCAAGCGUUGUCCGGAAUUACUGGGCGUAAAGAGCGCGUAGGUGGCUAGAUAAGUCCGGUGUGAAAUCCUUCGGCUUAACCGGGGAAUGGCAUCGGGGACUGUUUAGCUAGAGGACGGGAGAGGCGAGUGGAAUUCCUGGUGUAGCGGUGAAAUGCGCAGAUAUCAGGAGGAACACCAAUGGCGAAGGCAGCUCGCUGGGACGUGACUGACGCUGAGACGCGAAAGCGUGGGGAGCAAACAGG
Molecule: ribosomal RNA, 253 nt
Filed under: uncultured bacterium
Lineage: Bacteria
Description: partial 16S ribosomal RNA
Rfam family: Bacterial small subunit ribosomal RNA
Source: RNAcentral